Molecule: long non-coding RNA, 231 nt
Organism: Monomorium pharaonis (pharaoh ant)
Lineage: Eukaryota; Metazoa; Arthropoda; Insecta; Hymenoptera; Formicidae
Exons: 2
Source: RefSeq, a predicted model, not a curated record
UCAUAGAUAGGAUAGACCGGAGAUCAGCCAGUCAGUUGUCGUAGAGUUCAAACUCUAGGUUGUCGUCAUGUGACACUUUAAUCUAGGGUCAAAGAAACCAAGCGCCUGUUACGUUACUGGCCUUACUAGCACAUUACGUAGUGACGAGUUAUCCAGAAAGGAAUGGAAAGAAAGGCAUUGGAGCAUUUGAAACAUCGUUGGGGAGAGAUGACAUAUCGACCAGUAGGCAGG